Molecule: ribosomal RNA, 482 nt
Filed under: uncultured bacterium
Lineage: Bacteria
Description: partial 16S ribosomal RNA
Rfam family: Bacterial small subunit ribosomal RNA
Source: RNAcentral
AGUGAACGUUGGCGGCGUGGAUUAGGCAUGCAAGUCGAGCGAGAACCGUAGCAAUACGGGGACAGCGGCGAAAGGGACAGUAAUGUGUAGGUACCUACCCCCGGGUUCGGGAUAGCUGCGGGAAACUGCAGGUAAUACCGAAUAAUGUCUCCGGACCAAAGAUGUGAUUCCACCUGGGGAGGGGCUUGCAUCCUAUUAGCUUGUUGGUGGGGUAACGGCCUACCAAGGCGACGAUGGGUAGCGGGUGUGAGAGCAUGACCCGCGUCAUUGGGACUGUGGUACUGCACAGACAGCUACGGGUGGCUGCAGUGGAGUAUCGUCGGCAAUGGGCGCAAGCCUGACCGAGCGACGCCGCGUGCGGGAUGAAGGCCUUCGGGUUGUAAACCGCUGUCGUAGAGGAGGAAAUGCAGGGGGGUUCUCCCCUUUGCUUGACCUAUUCUAGGAGGAAGUACGGGCUAAGUUCGUGCCAGCCGCCGCCGUAA